CUCUAUAACCCUUCAUAUAACCUUCUUCAAUUCUAGUAAAAUACGGUCGUAAUCCUCCCCUAUUCUUCUGUAAUUUGUCCAAUUUUCCUUCUCUUUUCUUUGUAUUAUUCCUCAAUUUUCAUUCUAUUUUCGUUUCCCUCUCGAAACGAAUCUCUUUCUCUCCCCGAUUGGUUUCAUGAUCGAUUGCCACUUAUGUGUGUUGCCUCUAAAACUUCUCGCCUUCCUCCAUAUCUUUCCAUUCAUGGCUUUGCUAUAACAUUCGGUGCGUCGAUGUACCCUUGUCGCUCCAACAUAGCCUUGCCGCUUUAAUUUGGGCUUUGCGUCACUUUUGUUUCGACCCAAAGCCACAUUAAGUGCCAGAUGCUACACCAAGUUGAAUGGCAGACGAGUAGGGCCUCAGCAAAGCACGGCAGGGGUUGUCAGUUAACAUCGAAGGUUGUAGCAGUUUAACACUUCAUUUACGAGGUACUGCAGUUAUAACUAUGUACUUUUUGAAGUUCCAUCUACUCACAUUUUGUUAAUGGAAUGCUGUAAUAAUUCCCUUUAUUUUGUUCAUAGUUUUUAACGAUUUGUUCUCUCAUGUAAGAGACAUUUGCUUACUGCCUUCAUUUUGUAAUAUUAUGCAAACAUUGUUUGAUUCAUUGUUCA
Cucumis melo (muskmelon) is the source of this 648-nucleotide long non-coding RNA. RefSeq lists it as uncharacterized. The transcript has 2 exons. The record is from RefSeq and is a predicted model, not a curated record. Lineage: Eukaryota; Viridiplantae; Streptophyta; Magnoliopsida; Cucurbitales; Cucurbitaceae.